GGAAAACAAAAGGCACUGCCAACAGAAGAAGUGAGUCCAAGGUCCCAAGGAUCAAGUUUAGCCAGUAGGACAGUUUCUCAAUCUGAAAACAGUAGUGCUGGAGAGGAAAUUAUAAAGAAGAGAACAGUAUCAACAGUUAAGGAAGAAUUUGAAAAUUCAUCAUCUGGAGAUGACUUUUUCACAGUGUAACCUUCUCUUGUAACUCUGGGUCCUGGAAUAAAGAUCACCAGUGUUGCUGCUGGUGGGCGCCACACCUUAGCACUGUCAGGUUAUAUGAAGUACGAAGUAGGUUGUUUGAAGUACGAAGCUAUGGACGAUUUUUUGAUGUAAAGCAAGACACCUGAUGCUUCAUGUUUUUAACCAAAGUUUCAGAUAUGGGACAGGUGUGGGGUUGGGGCUAUGGAGG
Molecule: unclassified non-coding RNA, 406 nt
Filed under: Hevea brasiliensis (rubber tree)
Lineage: Eukaryota; Viridiplantae; Streptophyta; Magnoliopsida; Malpighiales; Euphorbiaceae
Source: RNAcentral